Molecule: ribosomal RNA, 481 nt
Filed under: uncultured bacterium
Lineage: Bacteria
Description: partial 16S ribosomal RNA
Rfam family: Bacterial small subunit ribosomal RNA
Source: RNAcentral
GACGAACGCUGGCGGCGUGCUUAACACAUGCAAGUCGAGCGGUAAGGCCCUUUCGGGGGUACACGAGCGGCGAACGGGUGAGUAACACGUGAGCAACCUGCCCUUCUCUUUGGAAUAAGCGUUGGAAACGACGUCUAAUGCCGAAUAUGACCCCCUGUCGCAUGGUGGGGGGUGGAAAGCUCUGGCGGAGAAGGAUGGGCUCGCGGCCUAUCAGCUUGUUGGUGUGGGUAAUGGCCCACCAAGGCGACGACGGGUAGCCGGCCUGAGAGGGUGACCGGCCACACUGGGACUGAGACACGGCCCAGACUCCUACGGGAGGCAGCAGUGGGGAAUAUUGGACAAUGGGCGAAAGCCUGAUCCAGCAACGCCGCGUGAGGGAUGACGGCCUUCGGGUUGUAAACCUCUUUCAGCAGGGACGAAGCGAGAGUGACGGUACCUGCAGAAGAAGGACCGGCCAACUACGUGCCAGCCGCCGCCGUAA